GACUGAGUUCGACACGACACGAUAUCCUGCAGAGAUAUUGUGCGACCUGCAGUGUCAGUCGAACCCAGCC
Small RNA from Clohesyomyces aquaticus, 70 nucleotides. It matches the Rfam family "bZIP non canonical Hac1/Xbp1 intron". Rfam says of the family: bZIP intron RNA is a non-canonical intron that was first reported in HAC1 gene in yeast and XBP1 gene in Metazoa. Lineage: Eukaryota; Fungi; Ascomycota; Dothideomycetes; Pleosporales; Lindgomycetaceae. The record is from Rfam.